Molecule: ribosomal RNA, 300 nt
Filed under: Triticum aestivum (bread wheat)
Lineage: Eukaryota; Viridiplantae; Streptophyta; Magnoliopsida; Poales; Poaceae
Description: partial small subunit ribosomal RNA
Source: RNAcentral
AUGGCGAGAGCCAUGAGCAUGGUGGACCUGCUGGUGACGUGGCGGUGGUGGCACCCUCCCGGCCGGUGGGACGGCAUCGACGAGAUCAUCCUCGUCGGCGGCAGCGUGAGAAUCCCCGAGAUUCUUGAGCUUUUCAGGGACUAUUUCCAUGGCCGGGAACCAAUUGUGGAGGAAGAAGCGGCGAUUCGCGGCGCUGCUCUGCUCUCCCGUCCCGAGUAUGCAAUGUUCACAUACGAUAACUACGAUAGUUACUACUGCCGUGGAAGUCCUUUGCAGGCGUCUGAAAAUAAAAUUGGAUAG